GGGGCUGUAGCUUAGUGGUAGAGCACUUGCCUUGCAUGUAUGAGGUGCUGGGUUCAAUCCUCAGCACCACCU
RNAcentral lists this transfer RNA (72 nucleotides) under Urocitellus parryii (Arctic ground squirrel). Its description in RNAcentral is "Spermophilus parryii (Arctic ground squirrel) tRNA". It matches the Rfam family "tRNA". From Rfam's summary of the family: Transfer RNA (tRNA) molecules are approximately 80 nucleotides in length. Their secondary structure includes four short double-helical elements and three loops (D, anti-codon, and T loops). Lineage: Eukaryota; Metazoa; Chordata; Mammalia; Rodentia; Sciuridae. RNAcentral also lists the same sequence under 2 other names. The record is from Rfam by way of RNAcentral.